RNAcentral lists this unclassified non-coding RNA (382 nucleotides) under fungal sp. Its description in RNAcentral is "partial internal transcribed spacer region". The stretch from base 1 to 46 matches the Rfam family "Eukaryotic small subunit ribosomal RNA", at positions 1786 to 1831 of the family's 1831-position model. Lineage: Eukaryota; Fungi. The record is from RNAcentral.
AAGUCGUAACAAGGUUUCCGUAGGUGAACCUGCGGAAGGAUCAUUAACACGUAUCCACGUAUCAACCAACCGGUAACUUGUUUUUCUCCCUAAUAAUAGUAUGGCUGUUCCAUCGUGAUCAUGGUGGGUAUGCACUUGCACUUCGGUGUGGGUACGUACGAUUGCGAUGGAACUGGGGCCUUGAGCUCUAGGCCGUACAGAUAUGUUAUUAGGCUUUUUUCCCACCAUACCUCUCUACUAUGAGGUAUGGGCGGGAUCCUAACCAAAACCUAUUUCACCCUUCUUACUACCAUUUGACUAAUACACUUCACUUGGAGAAAUCCAGGCUGAAUUGAGUUAUCUAAACUAAGCACAACUCUUAGCAAUGGAUAUCUUGGUUCUC